This 1470-nucleotide ribosomal RNA is filed under the name metagenome. Its description in RNAcentral is "bacterial SSU rRNA". It matches the Rfam family "Bacterial small subunit ribosomal RNA". The record is from RNAcentral.
AGAGUUUGAUCCUGGCUCAGGACGAACGCUGGCGGCACGCUUAACACAUGCAAGUCGAACGAGAGAAGAGGAGCUUGCUUUUCUGAUCUAGUGGCGGACGGGUGAGUAACACGUGAGCAAUCUGCCUUUCAGAGGGGGAUACCGAUUGGAAACGAUCGUUAAUACCGCAUAACAUAAUUGAACCGCAUGAUUUGAUUAUCAAAGAUUUAUCGCUGAAAGAUGAGCUCGCGUCUGAUUAGCUAGUUGGUAAGGUAACGGCUUACCAAGGCGACGAUCAGUAGCCGGACUGAGGGGUUGAUCGGCCACAUUGGGACUGAGACACGGCCCAGACUCCUACGGGAGGCAGCAGUGGGGAAUAUUGCACAAUGGAGGAAACUCUGAUGCAGCGAUGCCGCGUGAGGGAAGAAGGUUUUAGGAUUGUAAACCUCUGUCUUCAGGGACGAAAAAAGACGGUACCUGAGGAGGAAGCUCCGGCUAACUACGUGCCAGCAGCCGCGGUAAUACGUAGGGAGCGAGCGUUGUCCGGAAUUACUGGGUGUAAAGGGAGCGUAGGCGGGAUCGCAAGUCAGAUGUGAAAACAAUGGGCUUAACCCAUAAACUGCAUUUGAAACUGUGGUUCUUGAGUGAAGUAGAGGUAAGCGGAAUUCCUAGUGUAGCGGUGAAAUGCGUAGAUAUUAGGAGGAACAUCAGUGGCGAAGGCGGCUUACUGGGCUUUAACUGACGCUGAGGCUCGAAAGCGUGGGGAGCAAACAGGAUUAGAUACCCUGGUAGUCCACGCCGUAAACGAUGAUUACUAGGUGUGGGGGGACUGACCCCUUCCGUGCCGCAGCAAACGCAAUAAGUAAUCCACCUGGGGAGUACGACCGCAAGGUCGAAACUCAAAGGAAUUGACGGGGGCCCGCACAAGCAGUGGAGUAUGUGGAUUAAUUCGAAGCAACGCGAAAAACCUUACCAGGUCUUGACAUCGUAUGCAUAGCUCAGAGAUGAGUGAAAUCUCUUCGGAGACAUAUAGACAGGUGGUGCAUGGUUGUCGUCAGCUCGUGUCGUGAGAUGUUGGGUUAAGUCCCGCAACGAGCGCAACCCUUACUGUUAGUUGCUACGCAAGAGCACUCUAGCAGGACUGCCGUUGACAAAACGGAGGAAGGUGGGGAUGACGUCAAAUCAUCAUGCCCCUUAUGACCUGGGCCUCACACGUACUACAAUGGCUGUCAACAGAGGGAAGCAAAGCCGCGAGGUGGAGCGAACCCCUAAAAGCAGUCUUAGUUCGGAUUGUAGGCUGCAACCCGCCUACAUGAAGUCGGAAUUGCUAGUAAUCGCAGAUCAGCAUGCUGCGGUGAAUACGUUCCCGGGCCUUGUACACACCGCCCGUCACGCCAUGGGAGUCGGUAACACCCGAAGCCUGUAGUCUAACCGCAAGGAGGACGCAGUCGAAGGUGGGAUUGAUGACUGGGGUGAAGUCGUAACAAGGUA